This 253-nucleotide ribosomal RNA is filed under the name uncultured bacterium. Its description in RNAcentral is "partial 16S ribosomal RNA". It matches the Rfam family "Bacterial small subunit ribosomal RNA", at positions 524 to 776 of the family's 1533-position model. The record is from RNAcentral.
CACGUAGGGCGCAAGCGUUGUCCGGAAUUAUUGGGCGUAAAGAGCUCGUAGGUGGUUUGCUGCGUCCGCUGUGAAAACCCAAGGCUUAACCUUGGGCUUGCAGUGGAUACGGGCAGACUAGAGGUAGGUAGGGGAGAAUGGAAUUCCCGGUGUAGCGGUGAAAUGCGCAGAUAUCGGGAGGAACACCGGUGGCGAAGGCGGUUCUCUGGGCCUUACCUGACACUGAGGAGCGAAAGCGUGGGGAGCAAACAGG